UAUUUACACGCGCUACCGUUUUUACUCAUGGCAAUCAGAGUGGUGUCGAGUGCGUGCGCGGUUUGUACGAGAGGGCUGAUCAAACACGUGCCAGCCAAAUCGGUGAUCACGAGCGCGGUCACAAGCACGUGGAACAAGUCUAGGAAACAGCAUGUGAUAACAACUGAUCAUCAGAGAUAAGGCCGGAGGAAGCAUUUUACCUCUAUUUGAUGGUGACUCAUUCAAGCCAUUUGUUUUCCUGUGAUGCCUCCUGUAGCUGGACCACUGCAACUGCAGACACUGAUUGCAGAUCUUGAAACUCGGAUUAUAAUUAUGAAGCCAUGACCAUAUGAGAUGGAUUGAAUGGGAAUUUUAGAGCAGGGAUGUUGUGCUGGAGUUGAUUUUUUAUUUCUGGUCUAAAAUGCCAUGACCUUUAAAAACUUUGAAUCCUGAAACUCCAGGGAAAUCAAGUGCUAACUGACUGAUAAAUAAAGACAGACAUGUCAAUAAAUAAUAUUUAUAAUAAAAUUAUAGAAUCAUGUCCUAUCUUAUUCUUUUGUAACAGUUGCUACACUGUUGGUCUCCUUAUUGUUUGUAAAGGGGGUAAUAUUUUUUAUGUAUAUGGAUAAAACAACUUUCCAAUCCCUGUUUAAUUUCCAAAAUAAAUACACAAGAACAUUAA
Long non-coding RNA from Tachysurus fulvidraco (yellow catfish), 661 nucleotides. RefSeq lists it as uncharacterized. The transcript is spliced from 2 exons. Lineage: Eukaryota; Metazoa; Chordata; Actinopteri; Siluriformes; Bagridae. The record is from RefSeq and is a predicted model, not a curated record.